GGGGCGCUGCCCCCAUCAAGAUUUUGUGAAAAAGGUAUUGACACAGUAAACAUAAAUAUGUAUUUAAAGUAAUUAACACAUCUGCACAGUGUUCACUCAUACAAUGGGUCUCAUUUUAUUUUUUAAGCCUUUCCCUUACAUACUGGGGUUUUUUUUCCGGGCGUGUUUUACACAUUUCAAUAGCGAGGGACGACUGCCAAAUGAGCGUGCAUGUACAUUCUAAAACUUUUGGCUGUUAUGUGACUUGGUCUCUAAUUGGUUACUGAAAGAUUGUCCUCCGGGCGCAGCUCUCUGUGUCCCUGGCGAAUCAGCGCGUUUGGGUCGCCAUUUUUCAUCUGAUCUGAUUGAUUCAUGAUACCUGUCAGUCAAAUUCAGCGUACACAGACACAUACGGAGAGAGACAGACAGACCUCAACAACAAGACAGAAGAUGAUGGCAGCAGCAAAAGAAAAAUCAGUUGUUUCUUUAUGAAAUAGUCCUAUUAUGAGGCGUUCGCUGGAGGAAAUAAAAAAAGGAUAAAGGAGCUAGGACCUGAGCAACCUGGCUUACAAAUCAAGCAGCAGGCAAGUGACCGUGGACGGAGUUACACCCGGGGCUUCUCCGGCCUGUGUUAUGCUAAACACAGCUGGCUAGCUGGAUGUGAGGUUAGCAAUGCUCUGUAUUGCUUUCCCUGCUUGCUUUUUCAAAGUCUUGGCACUGAAGUUCUGUGGACAACAACGGGGGUCAGAGACCUGAAACAUCUCUCCGAAAAAUGCAAACGGCAUGAAGGUAGCCGUAGCCACCUUGACAACAGCAUGAAGCUACAGUUUUUUGGCCGUGUAAGCAUUGCUGAACAACUAGAUGAGGGCACAAUGAAGAGGCGACAGAAAAAUCAUCACAUACUGUCCAGGAUAAUAGACUGUGUGAAAUUUUGUGGGGCCUUUGAGUUGGCUUUACGUGGCCAUGAUGAUAGUGAGAGCUCUCUGAACCCUGGGAUAUUUCGUGGGUUUGUGAAUUUUGUUGCCUCUCUGGAUGGAGCUUUGAAAGAGCACCUUGAAACUGCCACUGUUUUUAAGGGUACUUCAAAAACGGUCCAAAAUGAGCUCCUGGACUGUAUGUUGUCUGUUGCAAGGGAGCGAAUAUAAAGAAGCCCAAAAGAGUGUUUUGUGUCAAUCCAGGCAGAUGAGACAACAGAUAUUUCAACACAGUCACAACUUGUGCUUGUACUACGCUACAUUGAUGACAAACACAGUGUGCAGGAAAGAUGUUUUGAAUUCAUUCCUCUGCAGUCAGCUACGUCUGAGUCCAUUGCUGCUGCAUUAACAGAGCGUCUUGCUGCCAUCAUUCCUGAGGAACAGAAAAGCUAAUCUGCCAGGCGUCUGAUGGAGCCAGUGUGAUGAGGGGUGCCACUGCAGGUGUUAAGAGGGAAAUCAAAGAGAGGCAGGAGCUCUGGCCAUGCUGCUGGAACAUCAGGACUUUAAGUUCUUUCUGGAACUUCUUCACCACAUCAUGCCACAUGUGGACCUCCUCUAUGCCAAGCUCCAGAAGAAGAACAUAGAUGCAGUCCAUAUAAAAGUGAGCAUCCAGUAGUUUGAACAGGACAACGAAAACAUCAGAAAUUCUCUCCAUUCCAUUUGUGAGCAAAGAAGUGGCUCUCCGACAGCAAAGAGGCGUCAGGCACUCAGUUCAGAGCGUCGUCAAAGGGUUGCAGAAGAGAUCUGCAACACCAUUCUCGGACACACCAAGGAGCGCUUCUCCUUCACCAACCAUCUCGUCUGUGCAACCUUGUUGCAAGGGGACAGGUUUGAAGAAUCUCACGGGUCAUUUCCUGAAGAGGCACUGCAAUGCACUUUGAAAGCCUACCCGAUGCUGAAUGAAGAAAGCUGAAGACAGAACUCGGUCUCAUCUACAGCAAAGUAGAGUUCAGAGCCUGCUGUGGUGUAGUGGACCUAUUUCAGCUGUUCAUGGAGAACAAUCUUGAAGUUGUCUUUUCAGAAACUGUCAAUCCUUUAAGUAUCCUGAUCACCACACACCACAGCUGAAGCAGGGAAGUGUUUCUCAACCUUGAAAAGAGUGAAAACUUUUCUCAGAAACACCAUGACUGUCACUGGUGCGGGAUGGAAAGACCCAUGCGCAGGCAGCCAGGUGGAGUUCAAACAGCUCUUUAUUGCGGGGACAGGAAUGGGAACGCAGGGAUACAGGAAUGCAGGACUCAGGAACGCAGGAUUCAGGAAGGCCAGAUUCAGGAAGACUGAGCAGACAUGCAGGGACACGGAAGCACGCAGACAGACCCACAACGCACCGACAAGGACAAGUCAGGGAUGUAGGCUUUAAAUUAGGUAGACACAGGUGAGGCACAUUAGGGCACAAACAAGGUAGGAGACCAGGAGGGCAGGUGACUUGACUGGAGAACAACAGGGCAGACAAACACCAAACAGGACCCAAGCACCCCCACAUGGCCGCAUGGGAACAGGGCGUGACAAUGACCCAGGGAAAGCUGAAUGCCUUGGCCAUGCUCUCCAUUGAAAAGAGACUUGUUUGUGAAAUGACAGAUUUCAAUCAGAAAGUCAUUGAUAAAUUUGCUGACCUGAAGGAGAGGAGAGCAAAAUUUAUGUUAAAGUAAAUGUUUUGUUGUGUUGCAAUGCCCGUCUGCUAGUGCGCCCCCCCAAAAUAUUUUAUCACCAGCU
Long non-coding RNA from Salarias fasciatus (jewelled blenny), 2666 nucleotides. RefSeq lists it as uncharacterized. The transcript is spliced from 3 exons. The record is from RefSeq and is a predicted model, not a curated record. Lineage: Eukaryota; Metazoa; Chordata; Actinopteri; Blenniiformes; Blenniidae.